Megalobrama amblycephala (Wuchang bream) is the source of this 1556-nucleotide long non-coding RNA. RefSeq lists it as uncharacterized. NCBI's taxonomy places the organism in Eukaryota, Metazoa, Chordata, Actinopteri, Cypriniformes, Xenocyprididae. The record is from RefSeq and is a predicted model, not a curated record. The transcript is spliced from 2 exons.
GUUGGUUUGUAGCUAUCAAUUAUUGCUGUAGAGAAGCCUUGAUGAGCUGCUGAACUAUUUACACAAUGAGAGCUAUUCCAAAACAGUAAAAACACAGCAGGUGUGAAGUUGUCAACCUGUCAUCUUAAUGCCUUUUAAAUGUUAAGAGUCUAUGAAGCCAAGCUGCCUGACAUUCUUCUCCAAUAACUUUUGCCACGUUACUGACAGUACUUUCAUACACAGAGUUCAUUACAGUGGACUGUGAACACACUCUGAGGGCAUUGAAAUUCAGGCCUGAAUGUACUACAGUGCAUACACAUUUAUGUACAGUUCAUUCACACUACUGUCCCCUACAAACAUCUUGUCACUACCAUACAUUGAAAAUGUCUUGUAUAAUUAUUUUUACCCACCUUUUGCCUCAGAUAAAUAAAAAGUUACUACAUAAUUGUUAUUAUUUUAUUUAGUUUCAGACAGGGUUGUAACCAUCAUAGACAUUGACAACAUUCAGAAUAGCGGUUGAUUUUUAAAUGUAUAUUUUUCUAUAGGAUUAAUCACAAUAAUUGAACAAGGAUUGACCCCACCCUCCAAAUGUUUUUUGAGCACUUGCAUUACACAGGCAUAUAUAAUGUGUCCUACAAGAGAUAUGGCCAAGAGAGCAAGUAUAUAUUUAGUGCAUGUUUCUGUAGACUGUUUGGCUCAGACAAGACUGAGCUGCAGGGCACAACAGGGCAGUCGUCACAGUUGACAUUUGGCAACAUUUGCAGGAACGUGCAAAUAGGAUGCCAAGCAAGUUUUGAAACAUCAAGGAAAUGGCUUUGAAUGUGAUGCCCUUGGAGACAAACAACUGCACACUGGAUCAGUAUAUCCUCUAUGCCCUCCUGCUAAGUGGAUCCUACUCCACCUCACACCUGCCCCUGAGUCUCCAGAGACUGCUCCAGCCCCAGAGUUCAUCCCAGAGUCCUCUUCAUCCUCCAGUCUGGACACCAAAUUGACACCAGUCUGGACUGACCAUGAAGUCAGUCCGUGCAUCUAUAAAAAUGUUUCCAGUGGUGAUCCCAGAGCUCUCAAAUCCGUUGGUCCCAAGUCCGCUGGUCCCAGCGCUUCCGAGUCCAGUGGUCACAGAGGUACUUCCACCGUCAGCUGAGCUUCCUGUGAUGGCAACUGCCGUUUUGUGUGUUUGGGCCGCAUACACUUCUCCUGCUUCUUCCAAAGUGUCAGAGAACGCUACUGCUCCUCCCAAGGUGGCUAUCAACUCUCAGAAAAAUAACUCUUUCUUACUGGGUACAGUAGUACUCAGAGCAUGUAGCCUUGAUCGCAUUGUUAAAGAAACUUUGUUUUGCAAGCAGUGAUCACAGAAUCAAUACAAUUGUGAAUGUUCACAAAAGUUUUAUUUAGCUAAAUCACGAACAUAUAACUAUAACUAGUUAUAUGUUUAUAUAGUUUAAACAAACACAUACACACAAUCACACAUAUAUGGGUAAAAUGGUGAAACUGAACAAAUGAAACAGAAACAGGGGAAUGAGGCCAUGGAAAUGUAAGUGUCGGUUAACCACCUGAAAAACAAACAAACAAACAAA